RNAcentral lists this ribosomal RNA (465 nucleotides) under uncultured bacterium. RNAcentral's name for it is "bacterial SSU rRNA". It matches the Rfam family "Bacterial small subunit ribosomal RNA", at positions 198 to 644 of the family's 1533-position model. The record is from RNAcentral.
UGAGGAAAGUAGGGGAUCGAAAGACCUUGCGCUUAAGGAGCGGCCGAUGCCUGAUUAGCUAGUUGGUGGGGUAAAGGCCUACCAAGGCAACGAUCAGUAGUUGGUCUGAGAGGACGACCAACCACACUGGGACUGAGACACGGCCCAGACUCCUACGGGAGGCAGCAGUGGGGAAUUUUGGACAAUGGGCGCAAGCCUGAUCCAGCCAUGCCGCGUGAGUGAAGAAGGCCUUCGGGUUGUAAAGCUCUUUCAGUUGGGAAGAAACGAUUGCAACUAAUAAUUGUAAUUAAUGACGGUACCGACAGAAGAAGCACCGGCUAACUACGUGCCAGCAGCCGCGGUAAUACGUAGGGUGCGAGCGUUAAUCGGAAUUACUGGGCGUAAAGGGUGCGCAGGCGGUUUUGUAAGUCAGAUGUGAAAUGCCCCGGGCUUACCUGGGAAUGGCGUUUGAAACUACAAAGCUAG